GAAACAGUGUGGUGCAAAAGAAAAGUCUAAAAUAAACUUUAACUUAAGAACAAUAUGUGCAUAAAGUUAAUUCCAAAUGAUAUGAUGUUACACGCACACGCUAAUUAUCGGACUAGUCUAGCAUUCUUGCAGUUAUUUAGAGGAGUGCAUGCCCAAGAUGCUACACGUUGCAUAAAACUUCUACCAACUUCCUUCUUGGCAUACCAAACAAAAUAGGAGACGCACCAAAUUCCUCAAAUAGAAUCCACGGUAGAGCUCGAACUUCACUGUGCAAGUAGAAAACUUUUUUUGAUACGGAAAAGGGAAAUUACAAGCAGAAACCUCGAAGUAAGUUGAUCAUAUAGAAUAUACGUGUGGGCAUAUUUUAUGAUUAAGUAAUUAAAAGAUAAGAAUUUUUUGUGUCUGCUAAAAAUAAGAAAAAUAAAAUAAAAUUAAGUGGAUAGUAUAAGUAGGUAUGAUACAUUUAACCAACAAAAAAAAUAGUACGUACGACAUAAAAUUUAUUAUUAUAAAAAAAAAAAAAAAAGUAGUGGUAAUGGUCGCAAACGAACAAAAGUUCAACCCGCUACAAUCACAAAUUUGUUGUUGAAAAAGAAAGAUGAACAUACAAUUAAUACCAGCAGUCAUCCUUUUAUAAGAGAGACGUUCUGUUUAGGGAAGGAAAAAAAUCUUAUCCACUAAGACGGGAAAAAAACACAAGGAGCUAAACAGGAAACAAAAGGUUUGGCCAAAAAAAAAAGGGGAAACAAAAGGUUUGGCCACAAAAAAAAAGGGAAAACAAAAGGUUUGGCUAAAAAAGAAAAGAGGAAACAUAAGGAAUAUGGCCAAACCAGGCAGAGCGUAAAAAUUUGCCUUGCACGAAACGCAUUGACAAACCCCGAAUGAAGAAAUUCGAUAGCUUCAACAAUCAACAUUCAACGCCUUUGAAAACGAGUUUGUAUCCUAGCACUGACCCAGUUGAUGUGUUCAAUAGCAUAUAUUGCUUACACGGACUCUGAUGGGAAUUUUAUCUCUGCUGCGGACUCUGAGACAUCAGUUGAAUAUCAGCAAGAACUAAGACCAGAGGAAAAUGUACUUUUCUUGGAUCCUUCCGGGUAGUUUUUUUUUCAUCCUUUGUAGUGGAUUCUGCAUUGAAAGGGUUAAGGGAAGAAGGAACCUUUAGUUUGGCAUUCCAUAUUCCAUAUUCCUCUUCCUCUUUUUGUUUUCUCUUUGGCAUAAUUUUUCCUUCCGUAGGUCAUGAAAUCUGGGGAAUUCUUUCGUAAUGAAAGACAAUCCUAACAAUAGCUUUAUGAAAAUAUGAUAACUUUAUGUGAUUAGCAUUUUUUGCAACGUUUCUUUUACUCUUUUUUAAAUGUCAGCACUUCUAUUACAU
Prunus persica (peach) is the source of this 1372-nucleotide long non-coding RNA. RefSeq lists it as uncharacterized. The transcript has 2 exons. NCBI's taxonomy places the organism in Eukaryota, Viridiplantae, Streptophyta, Magnoliopsida, Rosales, Rosaceae. The record is from RefSeq and is a predicted model, not a curated record.